Molecule: ribosomal RNA, 431 nt
Filed under: uncultured bacterium
Lineage: Bacteria
Description: partial 16S ribosomal RNA
Rfam family: Bacterial small subunit ribosomal RNA
Source: RNAcentral
AACGAACGCUGGCGGCAGGCCUAACACAUGCAAGUCGAGCGCCCCGCCAGGGGAGCGGCGGACGGGUGAGUACCGCGUGGGAACGUACCCUUUGCUACGGAAUAGCCUCGGGACACUGGGAGUAAUACCGUAUGUGUCCUUCGGGAGAAAGAUUUAUCGGCAAGGGAUCGGCCCGCGUUGGAUUAGGUAGUUGGUGGGGUAAUGGCCUACCAAGCCGACGAUCCAUAGCUGGUUUGAGAGGAUGAUCAGCCACACUGGGACUGAGACACGGCCCAGACUCCUACGGGAGGCAGCAGUGGGGAAUCUUAGACAAUGGGCGCAAGCCUGAUCUAGCCAUGCCGCGUGAGCGAUGAAGGCCUUAGGGUUGUAAAGCUCUUUCAGGGGGGAAGAUAAUGACUGUACCCCCAGAAGAAGCCCCGGCUAACUCCGUG